AAAAAAUUCACAACUGAAACAGUAAAUUCAGAACCAAAACAAAUAAUUCACAACUACUUAUAUAAUUCACAACCAGCCCUAGUCCUGAAUUCACAACCAAAAUUAUUACGGUUGUGAAUUCAAGCUGUGAAUAUAUAAUUCACACAAGAACCAAUAAUUGUGAAUUCAUUUACUUUCAACAAAAAAUUAAAACAGUCGUGAAUUGAAACAACUAGUCGUGAAUUCGUAACCCUAGACGUGAAUUGAAGAGCAUUCAUAAACAAUACAUUCGAAAACCUCUAACCAAAAUGUAGAAAUUGAUAAAUAAUAGCAAUAACAUGACAGUAUGAUAAAUAUAACAACAAAUGUAUAACAGUAAACGAAGAUAUCGACGCAACACGAUAAAAAAGGAAAAAAAAUAAAAUAAAAAUUCAAAAAUAUGCAACAACGACGACAAUGGUAACAAACACAACUAUCAACGCCGGAGAAUAAAGAAUAAACUAUGAAACAACAAAACAAAAUCGGAGAAUUGACGAAGUUUAAAGAUUGAACCUUGAAAAAUCAGCGAAAAAUGACGCACCGCAGCUCAAGGUGAAAAACGAAGCGGCAAAGCUCACAGCAAAAAACGACGCAACAGUCGCCAAGAAACAGUUGAACGGCGGCGAAGCUCACGGCGAACGAAGCGCCGC
Molecule: long non-coding RNA, 668 nt
Filed under: Salvia miltiorrhiza (redroot sage)
Lineage: Eukaryota; Viridiplantae; Streptophyta; Magnoliopsida; Lamiales; Lamiaceae
Description: long non-coding RNA (SMIL_LNC013144)
Source: RNAcentral